Molecule: ribosomal RNA, 465 nt
Filed under: Vreelandella stevensii
Lineage: Bacteria; Pseudomonadati; Pseudomonadota; Gammaproteobacteria; Oceanospirillales; Halomonadaceae
Description: partial 16S ribosomal RNA
Rfam family: Bacterial small subunit ribosomal RNA
Source: RNAcentral
CCUACGGGUGGCAGCAGUGGGGAAUAUUGGACAAUGGGCGAAAGCCUGAUCCAGCCAUGCCGCGUGUGUGAAGAAGGCCUUCGGGUUGUAAAGCACUUUCAGUGGGGAAGAAAGCCUUGGGGCUAAUACCCUCGAGGAAGGACAUCACCCACAGAAGAAGCACCGGCUAACUCCGUGCCAGCAGCCGCGGUAAUACGGAGGGUGCGAGCGUUAAUCGGAAUUACUGGGCGUAAAGCGCGCGUAGGCGGUCUGAUAAGCCGGUUGUGAAAGCCCCGGGCUCAACCUGGGAACGGCAUCCGGAACUGUCAGGCUAGAGUGCAGGAGAGGAAGGUAGAAUUCCAGGUGUAGCGGUGAAAUGCGUAGAGAUCGGGAGGAAUACCAGUGGCGAAGGCGGCCUUCUGGACUGACACUGACGCUGAGGUGCGAAAGCGUGGGUAGCAAACAGGAUUAGAUACCCCAGUAGUC